Molecule: ribosomal RNA, 460 nt
Filed under: uncultured bacterium
Lineage: Bacteria
Description: partial 16S ribosomal RNA
Rfam family: Bacterial small subunit ribosomal RNA
Source: RNAcentral
CCUACGGGUGGCAGCAGUGAGGAAUAUUGGUCAAUGGACGUAAGUCUGAACCAGCCAAGCCGCGUGAAGGAUGAAGGCUCUAUGAUUUGUAAACUGCUUUUGUACGAGAAUAAUAGUACUUACGUGUGGGGAUUUGCAUGUAUCGUAUGAAUAAGGAUCGGCUAACUCCGUGCCAGCAGCCGCGGUAAUACGGAGGAUUCGAGCGUUAUCCGGAUUUAUUGGGUUUAAAGGGUGCGUAGGAUGUCUUUUAAGUUAGCGGUGAAAUGUUGGGGCUUAACCACGUGCUUGCCGUUGAUACUGGUAGACUAGAGAGUGUAUGAAGUAGGCGGAAUGAGUAGUGUAGCGGUGAAAUGCUUAGAUAUCACUCAGAACACCGAUUGCGCAGGCAGCUUGCUAAUCCGUAUCUGACACUGAUGCACGAAAGCGUGGGUAUCGAACAGGAUUAGAUACCCGUGUAGUC